Molecule: ribosomal RNA, 301 nt
Filed under: uncultured bacterium
Lineage: Bacteria
Description: partial 16S ribosomal RNA
Rfam family: Bacterial small subunit ribosomal RNA
Source: RNAcentral
CAGCCGCCGCGGGAACACGAGGGGGGCAAGCGUUGUUCGGAAUUAUUGGGCGUAAGGGGUGCGUAGGCGGUUUGGCAAGUUUGGUGUGAAAUCUUCGGGCUCAACUCGAAGUCUGCAUUGGAAACUGCCGGGCUUGAGUGUGGUAGAGGAUAGUGGAAUUUCCGGUGUAGCAGUGAAAUGCGUAGAGAUCGGAAGGAACAUCUGUGGCGAAGGCGACUAUCUGGGCCAACACUGACACUGAGGCACGAAAGCGUGGGGAGCAAACAGGAUUAGAUACCCCCGUAGUCCCUGUCUCUUAUAC